GAUGAAGAACGCAGCGAAAUGCGAUACUUGGUGUGAAUUGCAGAAUCCCGUGAACCAUCGAGUCUUUGAACGCAAGUUGCGCCCGAAGCCAUUAGGCCGAGGGCACGCCUGCCUGGGCGUCACACGUCGUUGCCCCCCCAUCUACUCCUUCGGGAUUGCGGGGGGCAGAUGAUGGCCUCCCGUGCGCCUCGCCGCGCGGUUGGCAUAAAUGCCAAGUCCUCGGCGACGCACGCCACGACAAUCGGUGGUUGCGAAACCUCGGUUGCCCGUCGUGUGCGGUCGUCGCGCAUCGAGGGCUCGAAAAAAUUGCCGGGUUCCGGCUCGGCUUUCAACGCGACCCCAGGUCAGGCGGGGUUACCCGCUGAAUUUAAGCAUAUCAAUAAGCGGAGGA
RNAcentral lists this unclassified non-coding RNA (391 nucleotides) under soil metagenome. RNAcentral's name for it is "partial contains 5.8S ribosomal RNA, internal transcribed spacer 2, and large subunit ribosomal RNA". The stretch from base 1 to 122 matches the Rfam family "5.8S ribosomal RNA", at positions 35 to 154 of the family's 154-position model. The record is from RNAcentral.